UACGUAGGGUGCAAGCGUUGUCCGGAAUUAUUGGGCGUAAAGAGCUCGUAGGCGGUCAGUCGCGUCUGCUGUGAAAACUCGGGGCUUAACUCCGGGCCUGCAGUGGGUACGGGCUGACUAGAGUGCGGUAGGGGAGACUGGAAUUCCUGGUGUAGCGGUGAAAUGCGCAGAUAUCAGGAGGAACACCGAUGGCGAAGGCAGGUCUCUGGGCAUUAACUGACGCUGAGGAGCGAAAGCAUGGGGAGCGAACAGG
Molecule: ribosomal RNA, 253 nt
Filed under: uncultured bacterium
Lineage: Bacteria
Description: partial 16S ribosomal RNA
Rfam family: Bacterial small subunit ribosomal RNA
Source: RNAcentral